RNAcentral lists this ribosomal RNA (253 nucleotides) under uncultured bacterium. Its description in RNAcentral is "partial 16S ribosomal RNA". It matches the Rfam family "Bacterial small subunit ribosomal RNA", at positions 524 to 776 of the family's 1533-position model. The record is from RNAcentral.
GACGAACCGUGCUAACGUUAUUCGGAAUCACUGGGCUUAAAGGGCGCGUAGGCGGGUGACCAAGUCAGGGGUGAAAUCCUUCGGCUUAACCGGAGAACAGCUUCUGAUACUGGUCGUCUGGAGGGAGGUAGGGGCAUGCGGAACUUCCGGUGGAGCGGUGAAAUGCGUAGAUAUCGGAAGGAACACCGGUGGCGAAGGCGGCGUGCUGGACCUCUUCUGACGCUGAGGCGCGAAAGCCAGGGGAGCAAACGGG